UAGUAGCCUUCAGAGAUUUACUCGACAUAUACAUUUUUGUUAUCUUUUUUUCCAUCCCCAGGAUCGUCCGGCUACCAGCGACAGGAUCAACAACGUUCGGCGAGCGAAAUGGCGACUCUAGCCAGCCUUGCAGAAGCAAUCGCUUCGGGCACCGGGGUGAUGGGAAACAGCCCGACCGGCAAGAAAAAAGUAUAGCAAACUAAAAAUCACCACCACCCUGCAAAACGAUUCUACUGCUUCUGCGCAUCGGUGCAUCCGGAAGUUAUCGCUCACUCGAACGCCGGCCAGUGCGCCGGAAGUCCGAUUAAUGCUUCCGCUUCGUUCGGUUGGCUGGAUGCCUGGCGGAUGCUCAGUAGGACUUGUCUGCUUUGUAAUGGGUUUUUAUUUGCAGUUUGUGUUUUUUUCCCUCCUGUUCAUCUCCUUAGGGCGGGCGCGAUUGCAUCUCGCCCGUUCGUCCAUGAAAUUGCUCGGUUUAUAUUAGGCCACACAGAUGGAACUAGUUCCAUGCUGGACGAAGAAAUAUCUUAGCACCAGCCAAAGGAAUAGUUUUAUGUGAACUAGACAGGUUCAUGGAAAUGCAAGAAACUACACUUUAAAAAGAGUGCCUGCCUUCUUGUGCACAACAUUUGUACUGGUUUACAGCUUUAUUUUACGGUUCAUUUAUCUUGGAUUUUUGUUUUUUUAGCUCAUGUUUUACUGCAUAAAUAAUCAAUCGGUAAUUGUUUCUUUCCUGCAAGCCUCCUGUUAGGAUAGAAUGCGUUAAAUGCACCGAACUCUACAUCAACACAGCAGCAGCCGCCCGGAAACUGGCUUGAUGGAAAUGGAAGGGAAAAAGUUCCUUCAAUGACGUACGCCAAAACAGCGUAACGCCACGUCGGAAACGUCACCGUAGCUUGAUGCCGGAUGUGAGGGAAAAAUCACAUAAAAUCCCUUUAGGGUAGUGUUUACUACAAUCGGACAUCGAAAUGCGUCUGCAUCCGACCGAUCGAAUGAUUCGUUUCCGGAUAGACGAACACAGCCGAUAUUGAUGUGAUGUAAAGUACCACACAUCUACUUCAUUCGAGAGAGAAUAUUAAACCACGAUUUCGGCACUGUUGCCGAACAUUAACAUUAAUAUGCUAGUUCUAAUUAAUGAAAAUUGUUCAAUAAACUUGAAAAUAUCAAUUA
Long non-coding RNA from Anopheles gambiae (African malaria mosquito), 1167 nucleotides. RefSeq lists it as uncharacterized. The record is from RefSeq and is a predicted model, not a curated record. The transcript is spliced from 2 exons. NCBI's taxonomy places the organism in Eukaryota, Metazoa, Arthropoda, Insecta, Diptera, Culicidae.